AGAUCAUUUUUGGGACAAUUCCUUAUUAACCCUUUAUAUCGCUCUCAUGCCUCAUAAAAACACUCCUCUACUUGUUGCUCAAAAUUGGAUAUGGCUUUCUUAAGUUU
Molecule: small nucleolar RNA, 107 nt
Organism: Lactuca sativa (garden lettuce)
Lineage: Eukaryota; Viridiplantae; Streptophyta; Magnoliopsida; Asterales; Asteraceae
Source: RefSeq, a predicted model, not a curated record